CCUAGGAAUCUGCCUGGUAGUGGGGGAUAACGUUCGGAAACGGACGCUAAUACCGCAUACGUCCUACGGGAGAAAGCAGGGGACCUUCGGGCCUUGCGCUAUCAGAUGAGCCUAGGUCGGAUUAGCUAGUUGGUGGGGUAAUGGCUCACCAAGGCGACGAUCCGUAACUGGUCUGAGAGGAUGAUCAGUCACACUGGAACUGAGACACGGUCCAGACUCCUACGGGAGGCAGCAGUGGGGAAUAUUGGACAAUGGGCGAAAGCCUGAUCCAGCCAUGCCGCGUGUGUGAAGAAGGUCUUCGGAUUGUAAAGCACUUUAAGUUGGGAGGAAGGGUUGUAGAUUAAUACUCUGCAAUUUUGACGUUACCGACAGAAUAAGCACCGGCUAACUCUGUGCCAGCAGCCGCGGUAAUACAGAGGGUGCAAGCGUUAAUCGGAAUUACUGGGCGUAAAGCGCGCGUAGGUGGUUUGUUAAGUUGGAUGUGAAAUCCCCGGGCUCAACCUGGGAACUGCAUUCAAAACUGACUGACUAGAGUAUGGUAGAGGGUGGUGGAAUUUCCUGUGUAGCGGUGAAUGCGUAGAUAUAGGAAGGAACAUCAGUGGCGAAGGCGACCACCUGGACUAAUACUGACACUGAGGUGCGAAAGCGUGGGGGAGCAAACAGGAUUAGAUACCCUGGUAGUCCACGCCUGUAAACGAUGUUCAACUAGCUCGUUGGGAAGCCUUGAGCUUUUAGUGGC
RNAcentral lists this ribosomal RNA (739 nucleotides) under uncultured bacterium. Its description in RNAcentral is "bacterial SSU rRNA". It matches the Rfam family "Bacterial small subunit ribosomal RNA", at positions 116 to 847 of the family's 1533-position model. The record is from RNAcentral.